Molecule: ribosomal RNA, 467 nt
Filed under: uncultured bacterium
Lineage: Bacteria
Description: partial 16S ribosomal RNA
Rfam family: Bacterial small subunit ribosomal RNA
Source: RNAcentral
GACGAACGCUGGCGGCGUGCUUAACACAUGCCAGUCGAACGGAAAGGCCCUGCUUUUGUGGGGUGCUCGAGUGGCGAACGGGUGAGUAACACGUGAGUAACCUGCCCUUGACUUUGGGAUAACUUCAGGAAACUGGGGCUAAUACCGGAUAGGAGCUCCUGCUGCAUGGUGGGGGUUGGAAAGUUUCGGCGGUUGGGGAUGGACUCGCGGCUUAUAGCUUGUUGGUGGGGUAGUGGCUUACCAAGGCUUUGACGGGUAGCCGGCCUGAGAGGGUGACCGGCCACAUUGGGACUGAGAUACGGCCCAGACUCCUACGGGAGGCAGCAGUGGGGAAUAUUGCACAAUGGGCGGAAGCCUGAUGCAGCAACGCCGCGUGCGGGAUGACGGCCUUCGGGUUGUAAACCGCUUUCGCCUGUGACGAAGCGUGAGUGACGGUAAUGGGUAAAGAAGCACCGGCUAACUACGUG